GAUGAAGAACGCAGCGAAAUGCGAUACGUAAUGUGAAUUGCAGAAUUCAGUGAAUCAUCGAAUCUUUGAACGCACCUUGCACCCUUUGGUAUUCCGAAGGGUAUGCUCGUUUGAGUGUCAUUGUACUCUCACACUUCUAAUUCCUUUCGGGAUUGGGAGCGGUGGACUUGGGUGUUGCUGCUUUAGUUGUGGCUCACCUCAAAUAAGUUAGUGCAACUCUUGGUUGGACAUAGUACGGCGUGAUAAGUGUCUUCGCCGGCGCCUCUGUAAGGAGGGUGGCCGAUCGGGAGCUCUGUGCUUCAAACCGUCUUCGGACAAUCUUUGACAACUUGACCUCAAAUCGAGUAGGACUACCCGCUGAACUUAAGCAUAUCAAUAAGCGGAGGA
Molecule: unclassified non-coding RNA, 387 nt
Filed under: soil metagenome
Description: partial contains 5.8S ribosomal RNA, internal transcribed spacer 2, and large subunit ribosomal RNA
Rfam family: 5.8S ribosomal RNA (bases 1-120)
Source: RNAcentral